CUCGGGGUCAGUCGGAUGGAGUACACUGGGUCCCCGCAUCCUCCGGCUCCCACUCACUCCCGCUGGUCGCCGGUUAACUAAACUCUCAGCUUUAAACCAACAGUAAGAGGAGACAUUAAGAUUUUCAUUCUUUCUGGGUUGUCUCCUUCCUGAAGAGCAAUGGAAACACUUUUACCUAGAAGAGGAGUAAUCAUAUCUCUAAUUUUCUUCCUGUUAAAAUUCUCAACAGCAAUUGAAAUACCACCCUCAGUUCAACAGGUUCCAACAAUCAUAAAACAGUCAAAAGUCCAAGUUGCCUUUCCCUUUGAUGAGUAUUUUCAAAUUGAAUGUGAAGCUAAAGGGAAUCCAGAACCAACGUGAGUAUUCUUUCAAAUUAAA
RNAcentral lists this long non-coding RNA (378 nucleotides) under Saimiri boliviensis boliviensis (Bolivian squirrel monkey). Its description in RNAcentral is "lncRNA (ENSSBOG00000036632.1)". Lineage: Eukaryota; Metazoa; Chordata; Mammalia; Primates; Cebidae. The record is from RNAcentral.